Harmonia axyridis is the source of this 3608-nucleotide RNA transcript. RefSeq lists it as uncharacterized. The record is from RefSeq and is a predicted model, not a curated record. The transcript has 3 exons. Lineage: Eukaryota; Metazoa; Arthropoda; Insecta; Coleoptera; Coccinellidae.
CCAUUGUGUAUUUUCAGUGAUAGUUUUUGCCGCAGCCAGACCUUUUGAUUGAGAAAAAUUAAUAGCUGUAAUUAAUCUCAUCUCAUCAAUAUUUAUCGUUGAUUCGAAUAUUGUUGCAAAACAAUAAUAAUAAAAAAUCCGCUGAUUUUUUGCACUCUGAAGGAUACCUCGGUCAUAUAUUUUCUCUCGAAAUUUCAUCAUCCCUAAUCCGAGAUAAGUCCUGCUAUAAAUUGGUUGCUCCAGAAACCGACACAGUUCUUUACUUAUAUUGGUUCGAAAAUGAAGGUCCUUGUUAUUUUCGCUGCAUUGGCCACUCUGGCUACAGCUUCUUUACUUGGUGGCAAAACAAUCAGUUUACAAGACGAUGGUACUUUAAUCGUUAAUGAUAUUGGAAAAGGCGUCAUUAUUUCUAAACCUAUGGCGAUGGUUCAAAAUAUUCCAGAGAACACUCUUAUGGCCGCCAAUGAUUUACAACUUCAGCAAACAACUCCUGAUAUGACUUUGCUAAGAGGCCAAUUGCCAUGGUGGACGAUGAUCAAAAAAACUCCAAUGGUUAACAUGAUGUUACAUAAAACACCAAAUAUGUUCAGUAUGAAUGGUAUGAUAGGAAUGCAAAAUAUACCUUGGUGGAAGUGGCAGACGACUCCUAUGGGUAUCAAUAAUAUCAACAAUAUACCAAUGAUGGACAAACAAAUAAAAUAUAUAGCUCACGAACAUAUAACACCAAUGAUGCGUUUGCAAGAUGUGACACCAAUGAUGCGUUGGCAAGAUGGAACACCAUUGGUGCAUUCGCAAGAUAUGACACCAAUGAUGCGUUUGCAAGAAAUGGCACCAAUGAUGCGUUUGCAAGAUAUGACACCAAUGAUGCGUUGGCAAGAUGGGACACCAUUGGAGCAUUCGCAAGAUAUGACACCAAUGAUGCGUUUGCAAGACAUGACACCAAUGAUGCGUUUGCAAGGUAUGACACCAAUAAUCCGUUCGCAAGAUAUGACACCAAUGAUGCAUUUGCAAGGCAUGACACCAAUCAUCCGUUCGCAAGAUAUGACACCAGUGAUUCAAUCGCAAAAUCUGAUGCAUUUGCAAGAUAUGACACCAGUGAUGCGUUUGGAAGAUAUGACACCUAAUGAAAUGUUUCACAGCGGUCGUCUUAUGGGAAUAAAUUCAAACUGGCCAAUCAAUCCUAUUGGAAUAAACAACAAUGAUUUCACCAAGAAGAAUGAUUUCUGGAAGAUGUAUAGAAACAAUAUAAACACUUUGAAGGCACAAAGACUUAUGGAAAAUGACCUGUCUCACUGAAAAUGUACAAUUUGUUUCAUCAGUUGUUAACUUUAUUAGCAAUAAAUUCUAAUGAAAACCCAUAAUUUCAAUUCGAUUGAAAAUCACAUGUUUUCUCUCAAGGAGUGACACAUAAAACCAGUAUUUCAAAAUUAAUAUUUCGAUUGAUAUUUGAAAUUUGCCCGCAUUCUCAAUAAUCAAUCUGAAAUAUACAUCUGAUAUUUAUUUAUUCAAUACUUCAAAAAACUACAAAUGGAAUAAUAAAAUUUUUACCUAGUUUCUGGUCAAUUCAUUUUUAAUUUCGGAAUGUAAAGAAAAAGACAUUUGAAAUAUUCGAGGUUUUUGUUUGAGGGGGAGAAGAAUCUCAAGAUAAAUUAAAAAGCAAAGUUGACAAAAUUAGAAGAAAUUAUAUACAUAUACUGUAAUCACGAGAAUGAAAAGAAAUCGUUAGAUAGUAAACGAGAUGAAUGGUUUUUGUUGAUAAACCUCCCUUAGAAAUAUUUUGAAUCAAUUCAUACACCUUGUAUAAUAAACGCGAAUAAUUCCCUGACCUUGUUAUGAAGGUGUAAGUUCCAUCAAAAAUGAUAAGGAAUAUUGAUAUAACUAGAAUUUUUCUGAGUUGCUCUACAAUCAGUUUAUUACUUCUUUCAAUAUUGAACAAAAUAAUGGAAAAUUUGCAUUGGGAAUUGUUUAUCACAAAACAGUUUGUUAUUCACCUAACAGAAUAAAAGUUCAUUUUUAUCAAAGCAUAAAUAUAUUCUUUAAUUAGACUAAGCCACAUCACAUCUCCCGAUUUUGCAAUCAAAUUAUGUCGAUAAGAGAAAAAAUUAUCGAAAUGGUCGUUUUUUAUUGACACUGAACGGAUUGAAAAGCCCUAUAAAACUAGCAAUUAAUUAAGCACCAAUCAGUUCAGUUCUUCAACUCAAUCUGAAAUGAAGCUCUUAGUACUCUUCCUAGCUACGGCAGCUGUUGCCUCAGCUUCUUUAUUCAGCGGAAAGAGAGUUGAUUUCAAAGAAGAUGGAACUAUUAUGAUCCAGGGAAUGAGUGGUAAGCAAGUCGUUAUAAAAAAACCUUUAUAUGGGCUGAGAAACCUUCAAAUUGACGCAACUGGUCCAAAUACUCUAGUCAUAAAAGACCUGAACAACAAUCAGGUUGACACUGAGAGAAAUGUAGAAUAUAAUUCUAAAAAUUAUGAUGACUUCUUAGAAGAGAGGAACAAGCCUGAAUACUAUAACGUUGAUAUUCCCGCUUUCCAUAGGGAAUCUGCAAUGAAUAACCCAUUGACUGAAAAUAAUAACUAUCCAGAAGUAUCAUACCCAGGAAAAUAUAGUUCAGGAUUGAAUGUAUUGAAAGACCAGAACGUUGACCAGUAUUUUUACAACCUUUUUUUCAAGAUGUUCGACAGAGAGAUGGUAAAGAAUAUUCUGAAUCAACAACAAAUGUAUGAUCAGAAAUACAAUAGGCUAGAAUUUAUUGCUACAACUUGGGACUUUGUUUUCACACAAGGUGUUUUCGAUCAACAAUAUUUGAUAAAAAUCAUCAACAACAACAUGCUAAGAACCUUGUUAGUACAACUAGGAUUUUUCGAUAAAGAGGUCCUUGCACAAAUCAUGUACACCUACGAGAACCAAGGAGUUUAUGAUCAAUACUUGUUGCAAAAAUUGGUGAACACCCAGGUAUUGAAAUACUUCUUCAUCGAACAUGGAGUCUCUGUCUAUGAUAUUUUAGGCCAAACCUCUUACAAACAAUACUAUGGUAACAACGAAGGUACCUACGGUCUCAACAACCGUUACAACGGUUACAACAUAUUGGAAAGGAUUGUUAGUGAACCAGUAUGGAGGAAUGUUAUGAUUCAAUAUGGAAUCUUCAACAAAAACAUUUUGGACCAGAUCUUGUACCAAUACAACACACAAGGAGUUUACAAUCAGGUACUUUUGAAGCAGCUGGUCAACAAACAAGCUCUUUACAAUAUUCUGAUUCAAUAUGGUGUGGUUGAUCAAGUUUUAUUGAGGCAAUUCAUCAUCAACGAAAACCUUGGCUUGAACUUUCUCUUCGAAAAUAACUUCUUCAAACAGACCCAACAAAUGACCUUCAAUCAGUUAUCUGGAGUAUAUGGAAACAAUCCUGAAUAUACUGGCAUGCAAAUGUUGAAAAGAAAAUACAGGUCUUUUUUGAAUGAGGAUCCGGACUACGAAUAUAACCCAGGUCUCGGACGCUCUAACACAUUUACUUUCCGUUAUCCACUCAUCAUGGUUUGAAUAUAACUGUAUAUUGUCAACAAUUUUAUCAAUCAACAAAUGCAAUAAUAAAAUAGAAAAAACAUAAAAUUUUGA